UUGUCGCGUCGUCUGUGAAAUUUUGCAACUCAAUUGUAGGCGUGCAGGCGAUACGGGCAGACUUGAGUACUACAGGGGAGACUGGAAUUCCUGGUGUAGCGGUGAAAUGCGCAGAUAUCAGGAGGAACACCGGUGGCGAAGGCGGGUCUCUGGGUAGUAACUGACGCUGAGGAGCGAAAGCGUGGGUAGCGAACAGGAUUAGAUACCCUGGUAGUCCGCGCCGUAAACGGUGGGUACUAGGUGUGGGGCUCAUUUCACGAGUUCCGUGCCGUAGCUAACGCAUUAAGUACCCCGCCUGGGGAGUACGGCCGCAAGGCUAAAACUCAAAGGAAUUGACGGGGGCCCGCACAAGCGGCGGAGCAUGUGGAUUAAUUCGAUGCAACGCGAAGAACCUUACCUGGGUUUGACAUACACCAGACGCAUGUAGAGAUACAUGUUCCCUUGUGGUUGGUGUACAGGUGGUGCAUGGCUGUCGUCAGCUCGUGUCGUGAGAUGUUGGGUUAAGUCCCGCAACGAGCGCAACCCUUGUCCUGUAUUGCCAGCGGGUUAUGCCGGGGACUUGCAGGAGACUGCCGGGGUCAACUCGGAGGAAGGUGGGGAUGACGUCAAGUCAUCAUGCCCCUUAUGUCCAGGGCUUCACACAUGCUACAAUGGCUGGUACAGAGGGCUGCGAUACCGUGAGGUGGAGCGAAUCCCUUAAAGCCAGUCUCAGUUCGGAUUGGGGUCUGCAACUCGACCCCAUGAAGUCGGAGUCGCUAGUAAUCGCAGAUCAGCAACGCUGCGGUGAAUACGUUCCCGGGCCUUGUACACACCGCCCGUCACGUCAUGAAAGUCGGUAACACCCGAAGCCGGUGGCCUAACCCCUUGUGGGAGGGAGCUGCGAAGGUGGGAUCGGCGAUUGGGACGAAGUCGUAACAAGGUAAC
RNAcentral lists this ribosomal RNA (924 nucleotides) under bacterium. RNAcentral describes it as "bacterial SSU rRNA". It matches the Rfam family "Bacterial small subunit ribosomal RNA", at positions 580 to 1500 of the family's 1533-position model. The record is from RNAcentral.